UGGGGAAUAUUGCACAAUGGGCGCAAGCCUGAUGCAUCCAUGCCGCGUGUAUGAAGAAGGCCUUCGGGUUGUAAAGUACUUUCAGCGGGGAGGAAGGGAGUAAAGUUAAUACCUUUGCUCAUUGACGUUACCCGCAGAAGAAGCACCGGCUAACUCCGUGCCAGCAGCCGCGGUAAUACGGAGGGUGCAAGCGUUAAUCGGAAUUACUGGGCGUAAAGCGCACGCAGGCGGUUUGUUAAGUCAGAUGUGAAAUCCCCGGGCUCAACCUGGGGACUGCAUCUGAUACUGGCAAGCUUGAGUCUCGUAGAGGGGGGUAGAAUUCCAGGUGUAGCGGUGAAAUGCGUAGAGAUCUGGAGGAAUACCGGUGGCGAAGGCGGCCCCCUGGACGAAGACUGACGCUCAGGUGCGAAAGCGUGGGGAGCAAACAGG
Molecule: ribosomal RNA, 429 nt
Filed under: Chloroflexota bacterium
Lineage: Bacteria; Bacillati; Chloroflexota
Description: Chloroflexi bacterium partial 16S ribosomal RNA
Rfam family: Bacterial small subunit ribosomal RNA
Source: RNAcentral